GUAUUUCCCUGCCCUCACCCCCUUCUCCUCCCCUCGCCCCCCACGAAUCACCCCAAACCUUUCCAGUCCUUUCUUCUGACCCCCAGGGUCACACCGGCGCGCCCCCCCCCAGCUUUAGUUCCCCCAUUCUGAUCCCAGGAGUCCUCUUCCACCCCGCACCGCAGUGCCUCCCCUCAGUGCCCCUCCACCCGUUCUCCAUUUUACACCAGGUUCCCUGUCUGCCCCCCCCAGUCCCCUAUUCUAAUUCCCAGUGUCCCUUGCCCCCCUCUCCCCUCCACUACUCUCCCUAUGCUGUCCCCAUCAGUCCCCCCCUCCCAGUCCCCUCUAUCUGACCCACAGGUUUCCCUGUCAUCCCCCCCCCCCCUAAACUAUUCCCCCUACAAUUCCCCCAUUCUGAUCCCUACAGCUCCCUUCCCCUCUCCACCUCAGUGUUCCUCCUAGUCCCCCAUUUUGACCCCCAGAAUCCCCAGACCCCCUCAAGUCCUCCCAUUCUGCGCCCUAGAGUCCGCCACCCCCAGGUCCCGUCUGUCUGAUCCCCAGGCUCCUCUGUCCUCCCUUCCAGCUCUGCUUUCUGACCCUUAGAGUCCCCUGUACCUCUUUGUUCCCCACUCCCUGACCCCUGGAGUCUGUUCCCCCAUUUUGACCCCAAGUCCCACCCACCAGAUCCCAUUUUCACCCCUUAGUAGCCCCUCACGACCCUCGGUUCUCCCCUUCCACCCCUCCCUUCACCCCCAAGUGCCCUUUCUUUCUCCUAGCGACUCUGUUCAUCCUUCCCCCCCCCCCCCCCCCAACCUCUCAAGUUUCUCCCCAGGCCCCCUUUCCACCCCACAGAAGCCCCACUCACCCCUUUCUCAGCCCCCCCCCCCACAGCACCCUCCAGACCCUCUUUCUUCCCAAUGGCGGCCUCUACUCACCCCUUUUUUCACUCCUCAUAACUCCCCCUCUACUCCCAGAUCCCCCUUUCCACCCCAUAGAAGCCACAUUCUUCCCUUCCCCCCCCCAACCCCUCAAGUUCCCUUCCACAACGCCCCUGUCCACUCACAGCCCCCCUUUCCUCCCCACAGAAGCCUUGUUCCCCUCCUUCCCCCCCACAACCCCUUCUCUCCACCCCUAGACCCCCUUUUCUCAUCACGGAAGCUCCUCACAAUCCCCCGUCUUCCCCCUUCCACCCCUCCAUCCACCUGCAGACCCCCUUUUCCUCCUUACUGAAGCCCCACGUCUACCCCUGGAGUCAUGCAGAAGGAUCUGGAUAUGUCCUGGAGGGAUUUGGGGGAGGCCAGGGAGCCCUGGACUCAUCCAGAAGAGUCUGGAGAUGUCCCAGAGGAGUCUUGGGGCAUUCAGGGAGUCCUCAUGUGGGUCUGGAGGGUUCUGGAUUCCUCAGACGGGUCUGGAGAUGCCCCGGAGGUGUUUUGGGGAGACCAGGGGGUCCUGGAGUCCUCCAGGAGUCUCAAAAACUGACAGUUCCCACCGAAAAAGCCCCCUAUGGCCACCAGGUGAUGUGGGGAAAACCGCAGGUGACACCGGGACAACUGCCUGCCCCCACAUUUGUCCCUGUCACCGUGGAACCUGGCGCCAUCCCAACCCUCAUCUAUGCUGAGAGCUCCGUCAGCAUCCUAAAGUUCCGGGAGCCGGGUGACGCCGUCUCCCUGACUCCCCCGGUGUCCCCAGCUGUUCUCCCUGCUGCGGUGGUGCAACUGGAGGGCUGUGACAUCCUCAUCAAAGAGGCCUGCCUCCAGCCGGACCUGGUAACACUGGAGCUCUCUGGCGCUGUCACCAUUAUGUGCCACAAGGAUGGGGACGUGGUGGUGUACUCUGCUGCCACCAGAGGGGACCGUGUGUGACAUCAGCGUGGAACAGCUGUCAUCGCUGCUGGGUGUUGCUUUUGUCAACAUGCAUGGGGUGUCACUGCUGGGGACACCUCUGUGUCACCCCUUCCAUGUCACACCCCAAAGUUGGAGGCACCCCUCUGCAGAUCCCCCGGUGUCCGUCCUUCUGACCGCAUUGUUCCCAUGCGGGGGUGGGUGGAGUUGAGGGGGGCACACACUUUAUUUUUGUAAAUAAGAUUUAUUUUGUGAUAAGGUGGACUGGGAGACGCCGCCCCCCCAGACCUCUGCAUGAAUAAAAGGCAGAGGAGCGGCUGUGGGGCUCUGCAUGUCACACCGGGGGGCACUCUGGGGACAGGUGACUGCAGCAUCCCAGCCCCAUAGCCCCUAUGACCCCAUCACCACUACAGUCCCAUCUCAUUGCCAUCCCAUAACCCGUAUCCAUAUGCUACAACCUUAUCCCAUCCCAUAUCCCAUCGUGUAUUCAUAGCCCAUCCUAUAUCCAUACCCUCAUAUCCAUCCCAUAACCAUAUUCCAAAUCCAUCCCAUGUCUGUAUCCUCAUAUCUCAUCCUCUAUCCAUAUCCCAUCCCAUAUCCCAUCCCCAGUCCAUCCCAUCCCUUAUCC
Long non-coding RNA from Gallus gallus (chicken), 2448 nucleotides. The record is from Ensembl. NCBI's taxonomy places the organism in Eukaryota, Metazoa, Chordata, Aves, Galliformes, Phasianidae.